Pezoporus occidentalis (night parrot) is the source of this 2845-nucleotide long non-coding RNA. RefSeq lists it as uncharacterized. The transcript has 4 exons. NCBI's taxonomy places the organism in Eukaryota, Metazoa, Chordata, Aves, Psittaciformes, Psittacidae. The record is from RefSeq and is a predicted model, not a curated record.
CUCGGUUGAUCUCUGAGAUUUCCAUCUUGGUGUUGCGCAGGUCGUCGCCGUGUCGCCCAGCGGAGACCUGGAGCUCCUCGUACUGCACUGGGCAUGGUGGCCGGAGCACCGGGGCAUGGAGAGCUGUACAGCAGGGAGCUGUGGAGGAUGUUCCCGUGGGGAGGGCUGGCUGCUUACCGCUUCGUAGAGAGCUCUCAGGAAGUUGAUUUCAUCUGCCAGCUGAUCUGCUUUGGCCUGCAGCUCGACCUUGUUCAUAUAAGCACCAUCCACAUCCUAAAGAAAAGGAAAGCAAAGAUUUCUGGUGAAACCACAACCCAAAGGGGCUUCAGGAUGCCAGUGGGACCAUCGCUCUGCUUCCAGAUCUGUUAUUCUUUGGGCUUGUUUUUUAUGUUGCUGUGAUGAAGGUUUGGUUUGGGGAUUAUUUUUACUGUAAUGUUGGACAUUUACCGUGAGCCAGAACAAGGUUCUUGGGCAGAAGGCAAAGCUCUGACUCAUGGGAUGUGACCAGAGACCAAGCUGAAUUGAGCCACAAGAGGCUGGGUGGUUUGCAACAGUGCAGCUCCAUUGGCAUAGAGAAGGUCAUGCCCAUCCUUGGCCAUAGGAACACACAGCCCAUCCUUCUAGACAUGCCACCAUCAUAUCCUGGCCCAGCUGUGAGGUUGUAGAGCCCCAGCUCCCACCAGCUUUGCAUGAACUCUCUACAUGCCCAGGGAAUGUCACUGUCCAUCCCAUAGCUCCCAUUUCACUCACCUUCUUGAGGACGACGAACUCGUUCUCUGCGCCCGUGCGUCGGUUGAUCUCGUCUUCAUAUCUGUUAGGAUAGAAGAGUGAGAGGGUUUGGGUGGGAAUGAAGAGCAAAGCCAGCAUGGGAAGCAGCAAUGGGACCACUCCAGUCCCAAAGCAUUAGCUGUAGCUCACAGACAUAUUCCUUACUCCCACCUCUUUGCAGUCCAAGGCAGAUGCAAAUGAUUACUGACUUUGAACCUGCAAGACUCCAUCAUAUGAAUAGUCCCAGCUAAAAUGAAUAGAUUCUAAUCACUGCCCUUACAGUCAAGUUCAUACAUAAAUGUGGGCAGAUUCAGAGCCCAUUUCGGUAGGAAGCAGGAGCAGGAUUCUUGGUGACCUUUGCCGAAAGCAAAGUUGUGCAAAAGGCUUUCAACAAAGCUGCUUUGCAAUGCCUACAAAUAUAUAAUAAUGUAAUGAUUUGAUAUUUGAUAUUAUAAUAAUGCUAAUGGCUCUGAAUAACCCGCUGCAGCAUUUAAUUAAAGAGAAAAGCCUCUGAUUCUGUAGCCGUGGUUGUGCAAGAGCAGAUCCUCAAGCCCCAGACUGUUUCUGUGGAACUUUUUAUGGCUCUGAGCAACAUCCUCUCAUCAGAUAAUCAGGGCAGGGCAGCUAGAACGUAGACAAAACAUGUAGGCUCUUGAGGCAAAGACCUGGAUUUUAAAGGCAGGUUCAUGCCAGUUCUUCUAGCGUUGGCAGAGAUAUCCCUGCAGACGGAUCUCCAAGCGGACAUGGGAAGAAGAGGAAAUUAGCCAGAGAACUGGGAACAAACUCUGGGUCUGAAAUCAAACGUGUUCUCUUUUCCAGGCAGUAGCUCCAAAAUUGAGACAACUUCAUUUGUUGUUUUUGGCCUGAUCAAUAUUUCUAAAAACCUAUGAUACAUCUGAAGACCUGAGGGGCACCGAGGUACAACAUAUUAGAAGCUAUGUCAGUCCAUCCUGUCAGCUCUAAAUGUCCUCUCCUUGUAUUCCCCCCCCCAAAAAUCUGUCUCUUUAUAUGCUUAACUAUCUAAUACAAGCACAUUCCAGGUCUCCAGGGUGUUUUUCUCUAUUUGCACUUGGCCAGGUCUGGUUGAAUAAGGGGGAGGUUGUUCUCACCAGACUGCAGCCAACUGAAGAUGAGUGUCCUCACCUAAAAAAACCACCUAAAUGUCCCUUGUAGUCAGCAGAUGCCAACUGGCACAUCCUUAAAAUGAGUCAUCCCACCUCUGCUGGGGUGAUCAUCCCUUAUCUCAGGAUGGGAUUAAUUUCCCUCCAGGGAAAAUCAUUUUCUUUGACAGUAGUCAGAGAAAAGAGCUGAGCAUCUUUCACGUGAUGAGUGCUGAGCAUGCACAAGUUGCCUGGUGCCCUCUGGAAAGGCUGGAAUUUCCUUUGGAAGAAGAGAAGUGGGGGGAUUUUGGAGCUGACAGUUUAUGGCUAUGGUUCCUUCCCUUUUUGCGUGUCUAUCAUACUCAUGAGGUAUGCAUUUUUCUGUCUCCAGGUCUAUUAUUUUGGGAGAUUUCUGUUACACUGGAGCAGCUUCCCACGGGUGCAUGAGUUCUGUGCUAAAUGCUGCUCCUGCACCUAAGAAAUCUGGCAUAAGCAAAGAUGUGUGGAGAUUUGCUUCCCUAAUCCUGCAGAUGUGAAUUGGCACAUGUGUGCUGCAUCUUGUGGACGGGGGCCAGGCAGAGAGCCUGCCUUUGACUUCCAAAGAGCUAUGCAAAGUCACACCUGGGAACCAGCGCACAGGCUGCAAGGGUUUUAAUUAAAGCAAAGAGAAAGGCUUCGUGUUGAAGGCAGUCAUUACCUCCCCAGCUCUUCUAGGAAAGCCUGUUGCUGCAGACAAUGCUUCCUGUAAGUUGCAAUCUCGAUGUCCAGGGCUAGCUUGACGUUCAUGAGCUCCUGGUACUCACGGAGCUGCCGGGCCAUGUCAGCUUUAGCUUUCUGCAGAGCAUCUUCCAGGUCAAUCAUCUUUGCCUUGGCAUCUUUGAGGGCCAGCUCCCCACGCUCCUCAGAGUCUCCAAUUGCUGUCUGCAGGGUGGCACACUGCAAGAGAAGGGAUUGGGACUCCUAAACGCUGCUUUUCU